This 220-nucleotide unclassified non-coding RNA is filed under the name Glomeraceae sp. RNAcentral describes it as "partial contains 5.8S ribosomal RNA and internal transcribed spacer 2". The stretch from base 1 to 71 matches the Rfam family "5.8S ribosomal RNA", at positions 84 to 154 of the family's 154-position model. Lineage: Eukaryota; Fungi; Glomeromycota; Glomeromycetes; Glomerales; Glomeraceae. The record is from RNAcentral.
GUGAAUCAUCAAAUUUUUGAACGCAAAUUGCGCUUCUUGGUAUCCCGGGAAGUAUGCCUGUUUGAGGGUCAGUAUUAAUAAAAAAUCGGUUUAGUUACAAAUUGUGAAGUUUCCGGAGUUUGUGCUAUCUUAACAUUUUUGGUUUAAAGGCUUAAAAUUGACCUUUUUUCCGAUGUUUUAAAUGCACAUAAAUUUUUUUUAUUCGUCUAUUUUUAUUGCC